Molecule: ribosomal RNA, 498 nt
Filed under: uncultured bacterium
Lineage: Bacteria
Description: partial 16S ribosomal RNA
Rfam family: Bacterial small subunit ribosomal RNA
Source: RNAcentral
AUUGAACGCUGGCGGCAUGCCUUACACAUGCAAGUCGAACGGUAACAGGUCUUCGGAUGCUGACGAGUGGCGAACGGGUGAGUAAUACAUCGGAACGUGCCUAGUAGUGGGGGAUAACUACUCGAAAGAGUGGCUAAUACCGCAUGAGAUCUACGGAUGAAAGCAGGGGAUCGCAAGACCUUGUGCUUCUAGAGCGGCCGAUGGCAGAUUAGGUAGUUGGUGGGAUAAAAGCUUACCAAGCCGACGAUCUGUAGCUGGUCUGAGAGGACGAUCAGCCACACUGGGACUGAGACACGGCCCAGACUCCUACGGGAGGCAGCAGUGGGGAAUUUUGGACAAUGGGCGCAAGCCUGAUCCAGCAAUGCCGCGUGCAGGAUGAAGGCCUUCGGGUUGUAAACUGCUUUUGUACGGAACGAAAAGCCCCGGGUUAAUACCCUGGGGUCACGACGGUACCGUAAGAAUAAGCACCGGCUAACUACGUGCCAGCCGCCGCAGUAA